RNAcentral lists this ribosomal RNA (377 nucleotides) under uncultured bacterium. RNAcentral describes it as "bacterial SSU rRNA". It matches the Rfam family "Bacterial small subunit ribosomal RNA", at positions 396 to 787 of the family's 1533-position model. The record is from RNAcentral.
ACCGCGUGGGGGAAGAAGGCUCUUGGGUUGUAAACUCCUUUUCUCUGGGAAGAACAAAAUGACGGUACCAGAGGAAUCAGCAUCGGCUAACUCCGUGCCAGCAGCCGCGGUAAGACGGAGGAUGCAAGCGUUAUCCGGAAUGAUUGGGCGUAAAGCGUCCGCAGGUGGCAGUUCAAGUCUGCUGUCAAAGACCGGGGCUUAACCUCGGAAAGGCAGUGGAAACUGAACAGCUAGAGUAUGGUAGGGGCAAAGGGAAUUCCUGGUGUAGCGGUGAAAUGCGUAGAGAUCAGGAAGAACAUCGGUGGCGAAGGCGCUUUGCUGGACCAUAACUGACACUCAGGGACGAAAGCUAGGGGAGCGAAUGGGAUUAGAUACCC